Molecule: ribosomal RNA, 285 nt
Filed under: uncultured bacterium
Lineage: Bacteria
Description: partial 16S ribosomal RNA
Rfam family: Bacterial small subunit ribosomal RNA
Source: RNAcentral
UAGUGCCUACGGGGCGCAGCAGUGAGGAAUAUUGGUCAAUGGGCGCGAGCCUGAACCAGCCAAGUAGCGUGAAGGAUGACUGCCCUACGGGUUGUAAACUUCUUUUAUAAAGGAAUAAAGUGAGGCACGUGUGCCUUUUUGUAUGUACUUUAUGAAUAAGGAUCGGCUAACUCCGUGCCAGCAGCCGCGGUAAUACGGAGGAUCCGAGCGCUAUCCGGAUUUAUUGGGUUUAAAGGGAGCGUAUAUGUGUUGUUAAGUCAGUUGUGAAAGUUUGCGGCUCAACCG